CAGUAGCCACGGUAAUACGGAGGGGGCUAGCGUUGUUCGGAAUUACUGGGCGUAAGGCGCACGUAGGCGGCUUGGUAAGUUAGAGGUGAAAGCCCGGAGCUCAACUCCGGAAUUGCCUUUAAGACUGCCGAGCUAGUAGGUGAGAGAGGUAAGUGGAAUUCCGAGUGUAGAGGUGAAAUUCGUAGAUAUUCGGAAGAACACCAGUGGCGAAGGCGGCUUACUGGCUCAUUCUAGACGCUGAGGUGCGAAAGCGUGGGGAGCAAACAGGAUUAGAUACCCCCGUAGUCCCUGUCUCUUAUAC
Molecule: ribosomal RNA, 301 nt
Filed under: uncultured bacterium
Lineage: Bacteria
Description: partial 16S ribosomal RNA
Rfam family: Bacterial small subunit ribosomal RNA
Source: RNAcentral